AGAGUUUGAUCAUGGCUCAGGAUGAACGCUAGCUACAGGCUUAACACAUGCAAGUCGAGGGGCAGCAUGUUGGUUGCUUGCAACCAACGAUGGCGACCGGCGCACGGGUGGGUAACGCGUAUCCAACCUACCCUUGUCCAUCGGAUAACCCGUCGAAAGGCGGCCUAACACGAUAUGCGGUUCACAGCAGGCAUCUAACGUGAACGAAAUGUGAAGGAGAAGGAUGGGGAUGCGUCUGAUUAGCUUGUUGGCGGGGUAACGGCCACAAGGCUACGAUCAGUAGGGGUUCUGAGAGGAGGUCCCCCANAUUGGAACUGAGACACGGUCCAAACUCCGUACGGGAGCA
RNAcentral lists this ribosomal RNA (346 nucleotides) under uncultured bacterium. RNAcentral describes it as "bacterial SSU rRNA". It matches the Rfam family "Bacterial small subunit ribosomal RNA", at positions 8 to 349 of the family's 1533-position model. The record is from RNAcentral.